Long non-coding RNA from Rhinolophus ferrumequinum (greater horseshoe bat), 385 nucleotides. RefSeq lists it as uncharacterized. NCBI's taxonomy places the organism in Eukaryota, Metazoa, Chordata, Mammalia, Chiroptera, Rhinolophidae. The record is from RefSeq and is a predicted model, not a curated record. The transcript has 3 exons.
UACCAGUGUCGCUGCUGGAUCCCACUUCCCUAGUCGCGGCUUUCUCUCCCGGCGGGCACCGCGCGUGGGAUAACGGUUCCCGUGGAGGUUCCGGCGUGCACGGCCGGACUCGCGGCGGGCUGCGGCCCCGAAUGCGAGUUCUGAAACACUGGGUUCCAUGAAUGUGUUUGAUACAAAGCCACCCUGGCUCAAAGAGAAGUUGCCAGGGUCAGUUUUCUGUUCUAGCUUUUCUGGGGCACCGUCUUCUCCCAGAAAAAUGUAGCAUCCACAUGUAACUCCUAGAUUGAAAAGAAUCUUACACACAAGGACCUCUGAUGUUCCAUGAUGACCUGAUUUUCCCAGAAAAUGUAAAGGUUUCAACAUCUUGCUUCAAUAAAUCACUCAC